UUGCUUCAGCAGCACAUAUACUAAAUUUGGAACAAUACAAAGAUUAGCAUGGCCCUUGUGCAGGGAUGACAUGCAGAUUCAUGAAGCAUUCCAUAUUUUU
This is a small nuclear RNA of Callithrix jacchus (white-tufted-ear marmoset), 100 nucleotides long. The record is from Ensembl. Lineage: Eukaryota; Metazoa; Chordata; Mammalia; Primates; Cebidae.